CAAAUCCAAAAUCACAACACCGCUGUCUCUCAUCUCUGCCCUUUCAAAUACGCAGACCAGAAAAUCCAUUUGACAAAAUGGAAGCCCUAAUUUGGUAGAAGCCUGAUUCAGUGAUUCCUACAAAUUUUCAAGUAGGAAACUCUAAAAUCGAAUGCUUUCCAAUUACUAUUCAGGAACGAGUGGAUGCUUAAUGCAGCCUCAUUAUCAGGGAGACCAACACCACGCGACUUCCUUCCGGAAGAUGAUAGGUCUGCCAGGAAGCCUCAGCCGCAUCAAAAUUGGCAAGGCUACUGAAGAUAGCGAGAAGAAGAUUCAAAUGACUAGCCAGUCUUCACCAAUGUAGCCAUGUAACCAGGCUAUGAAUGAUCUAGUUAAGGAACCUGACCAUUUUUGAAGGAUGCAUUUAAGAAUAGAGAAUAUCAACGAGGAAGAACUGCUAAAGGGUUCAACAUGUAAGAAUGUCUUAUUCAUAUAAUUUUUAUACUUCUGCUGAUUAAGAUUUGUGAUCAUUUUGUACAUUUUGGUCAUGAAGGCAACAAAUGUUCACUGUACUUUGCAAAAUGCUGUUAUCCCAAGCUCUUGUUCUGUUGGCAUACAAACACAAUACCUUUUUUAGACUCUGUUUAUUUUGUGAAAAAUAAUUUAUAUAUAAAAAGUAUUUUUCACUUAUCCCCGUUGUUUGAGCCAAAUUAGAAAACAUCAUACUGUUCUGCAACCUGAAUGGCCUGCCUUUUUUUUUUUUUUUUUUUUUUU
This 753-nucleotide unclassified non-coding RNA is filed under the name Hevea brasiliensis (rubber tree). The record is from RNAcentral. Lineage: Eukaryota; Viridiplantae; Streptophyta; Magnoliopsida; Malpighiales; Euphorbiaceae.